AAUUCGAAGCAACGCGAAGAACCUUACCAGGCCUUGACAUGCAGAGAACUUUCCUAGAGAUGGAUUGGUGCCUUCGGGAACUCUGACACAGGUGCUGCAUGGCUGUCGUCAGCUCGUGUCGUGAGAUGUUGGGUUAAGUCCGUAACGAGCGCAACCCUUGUCCUUAGUUACCAGCACGUUAUGGUGGGCACUCUAAGGAGACUGCCGGUGACAAACCGGAGGAAGGUGGGGAGUGACGUCAAGUCAUCAUGGCCCUUACGGCCUGGGCUACACACGUGCUACAAUGGUCGGUACAAAGGGUUGCCAAGCCGCGAGGUGGAGCUAAUCCCAUAAAACCGAUCGUAGUCCGGAUCGCAGUCUGCAACUCGACUGCGUGAAGUCGGAAUCGCUAGUAAUCGUGAAUCAGAAUGUCACGGUGAAUACGUUCCCGGGCCUU
This 436-nucleotide ribosomal RNA is filed under the name uncultured Pseudomonas sp. RNAcentral's name for it is "bacterial SSU rRNA". It matches the Rfam family "Bacterial small subunit ribosomal RNA", at positions 948 to 1382 of the family's 1533-position model. Lineage: Bacteria; Pseudomonadati; Pseudomonadota; Gammaproteobacteria; Pseudomonadales; Pseudomonadaceae. The record is from RNAcentral.